Molecule: ribosomal RNA, 253 nt
Filed under: uncultured bacterium
Lineage: Bacteria
Description: partial 16S ribosomal RNA
Rfam family: Bacterial small subunit ribosomal RNA
Source: RNAcentral
UACGUAGGGUGCAAGCGUUAAUCGGAAUUACUGGGCGUAAAGCGUGCGCAGGCGGCGUCGCAAGUCAGGCGUGAAAUCCCCGAGCUUAACUUGGGAAUUGCGCUUGAAACUACGAUGCUAGAGUGUGGCAGAGGGAGGUGGAAUUCCACGUGUAGCGGUGAAAUGCGUAGAUAUGUGGAGGAACACCGAUGGCGAAGGCAGCCUCCUGGGCCAACACUGACGCUCAUGAACGAAAGCGUGGGGAGCAAACAGG